GACGAACGCUUGCGGCGUGCUUAACACAUGCAAGUCGAACGGAAAGGCCCUGCUUUUGUGGGGUGCUCGAGUGGCGAACGGGUGAGUAACACGUGAGUAACCUGCCCUUGACUUUGGGAUAACUUCAGGAAACUGGGGCUAAUACCGGAUAGGAGCUCCUGCUGCAUGGUGGGGGUUGGAAAGUUUCGGCGGUUGGGGAUGGACUCGCGGCUUAUCAGCUUGUUGGUGGGGUAGUGGCUUACCAAGGCUUUGACGGGUAGCCGGCCUGAGAGGGUGACCGGCCACAUUGGGACUGAGAUACGGCCCAGACUCCUACGGGAGGCAGCAGUGGGGAAUAUUGCACAAUGGGCGGAAGCCUGAUGCAGCAACGCCGCGUGCGGGAUGACGGCCUUCGGGUUGUAAACCGCUUUCGCCUGUGACGAAGCGUGAGUGACGGUAAUGGGUAAAGAAGCACCGGCUAACUACGUGCCAGCAGCCGCGGUGAUACGUAGGGUGCGAGCGUCGUCCGGAUUUAUUGGGCGUAAAGGGCUCGUAGGUGGUUGAUCGCGUCGGAAGUGUAAUCUUGGGGCUUAACCCUGAGCGUGCUUUCGAUACGGGUUGACUUGAGGAAGGUAGGGGAGAAUGGAAUUCCUGGUGGAGCGGUGGAAUGCGCAGAUAUCAGGAGGAACACCAGUGGCGAAGGCGGUUCUCUGGGCCUUUCCUGACGCUGAGGAGCGAAAGCGUGGGGAGCGAACAGGCUUAGAUACCCUGGUAGUCCACGCUGUAAACGGUGGGUACUAGGUGUGGGGUCCAUUCCACGGGUUCCGUGCCGUAGCUAACGCUUUAAGUACCCCGCCUGGGGAGUACGGCCGCAAGGCUAAAACUCAAAGGAAUUGACGGGGCCCCGCACAAGCGGCGGAGCAUGCGGAUUAAUUCGAUGCAACGCGUAGAACCUUACCUGGGUUUGACAUGGAUCGGGAGUGCUCAGAGAUGGGUGUGCCUCUUUUGGGGUCGGUUCACAGGUGGUGCAUGCCUGCCGUCAGCUCGUGUCGUGAGAUGUUGGGUUAAGUCCCGCAACGGGCGCAACCCUUGUUCACUGUUGCCAGCACGUUAUGGUGGGGACUCAGUGGAGACCGCCGGGGUCAACUCGGAGGAAGGUGGGGAUGACGUCAAGUCCUCAUGCCCCUUAUGUCCAGGGCUUCACGCAUGCUACAAUGGCUGGUACAGAGAGUGGCGAGCCUGUGAGGGUGAGCGAAUCUCGGAAAGCCGGUCUCAGUUCGGAUUGGGGUCUGCAACUCGACCUCAUGAAGUCGGAGUCGCUAGUAAUCGCAGAUCAGCAACGCUGCGGUGAAUACGUUCCCGGGGCU
Molecule: ribosomal RNA, 1346 nt
Filed under: uncultured bacterium
Lineage: Bacteria
Description: bacterial SSU rRNA
Rfam family: Bacterial small subunit ribosomal RNA
Source: RNAcentral